This 469-nucleotide ribosomal RNA is filed under the name Spalgis epius. RNAcentral describes it as "partial large subunit ribosomal RNA". It matches the Rfam family "Archaeal large subunit ribosomal RNA", at positions 1950 to 2673 of the family's 2987-position model. Lineage: Eukaryota; Metazoa; Arthropoda; Insecta; Lepidoptera; Lycaenidae. The record is from RNAcentral.
UCUGCCCUAUGAUUUAGAAAAUUAAAUGGCUGCAGUAAAUUGACUGUACAAAGGUAGCAUAAUCAAUAGUCUUUUAAUUGAAGACUUGAAUGAAAGAUUGGAUGAAAUAUAGACUGUUUCUAUUUUAUAAAUUGAAUUUAAUUUUUUAGUUAAAAAGCUAAAAUAUUUUUAAAAGACGAGAAGACCCUAUAGAGUUUGAAUUAUGAAUUAAUUUAAUUGAAAUUAAUUUUAAAUUUUGUUGGGGUGAUAGAAAAAUUUAAAAAACUUUUUUUUUAGUUUAACAUAAAUAAUAGAAUUUUUGAUCCAUUAUAAUGAUUAAAAGAAUAAAUUACCUUAGGGAUAACAGCGUAAUUUUUUUUUUUAGAACUUAUAGAAAAAAUAGUUUGCGACCUCGAUGUUGGAUUAAGAUAAAAUUUAAAUGCAGAAGUUUAUAAUUUUGAUCUGUUCGAUCAUUAAAAUCUUACGUGAU